This 546-nucleotide ribosomal RNA is filed under the name Triticum aestivum (bread wheat). RNAcentral describes it as "partial small subunit ribosomal RNA". Lineage: Eukaryota; Viridiplantae; Streptophyta; Magnoliopsida; Poales; Poaceae. The record is from RNAcentral.
AUGCCCGGGGAUCUGAGCCAGUGGAUCAUGAAACACUAUGAUCCAGAAAAGUCUCAAAUCAUUAUACCAGAGAGAGGAAAGAUACCAGUGGACGCAGACAGUGUGCGGUGGAUAUGGGGUUUGCCCAAUCGAGGCGGGAAAGUAUGCUUUGAAAUGAAUCCAGAUGUUAUAAGGGAAUUCAACAGUAUUUUCAAGAUCGAGGGUAAAAAUGCACCUACAUUGACUUCAUGGUGCAAAAGGAUUGAAAAUAUGAAUGGGGCACAUGAUGACGAUUUCCUCCGUGCUUGGUUGGCUGUUGCAUUCUCAUGCUUCCUUGCUCCAACAACAAGCUUGAGCAUCUCACCAAGGUGCUAUACUGCCAUCAUGCACACAAGUGCUAUAAAGGACACCAACAUAUGCGACUUUGUUGUUGACCAACUAAGGUUGGCAUUCAUGGGAUUUGGUGAGAAGAAGAAAGCAGUUUGUUGCUGCAUCUUCCACCUAGUUGUAAGUACACAAUUUUUUUUUCUGAAGAAACUCAUGCUUUACCCUGUUAUCUUUCCCUGA